UAGCAAUAAACAUGUCAUCUACAUACAACAAUAAAUAGACAAAAAAAAACCAUCUAAUAGCCUCUUAUGACACACACAAUUAUCAUGAGCACUACGAGUAAAACCAUUAUAUCAUAAAUGUACCAAACCUCUUAUACAACUGUCUAGGUGUGUAGAGGCCCGGAACUUAAAAGGUAAUAAGGUCAUAAAUUAAAUAUGGAAGUGAAAUAAUAGAGUUAAGGGUUUACAUUCCUUACACAAUAAUUUAGAAUGCUCAAUAGAGCUACGAAAAUGUCCAUUCUAAAAGAACAAACGAAAAUUAAAGAAAUAAAUAAAAGGUAACUAACUGAGCAUUCUAGGACGACCUUCACUAGCUUCUGAAGGGAGUCCGGGUGGUGAACUUAUUCACAACCCUCUUGUUGAUCGGAAUUUGGGUCAUGAUC
This 422-nucleotide long non-coding RNA is filed under the name Carica papaya (papaya). Its description in RNAcentral is "long non-coding RNA (CPAP_LNC006097)". Lineage: Eukaryota; Viridiplantae; Streptophyta; Magnoliopsida; Brassicales; Caricaceae. The record is from RNAcentral.